This 684-nucleotide ribosomal RNA is filed under the name Triticum aestivum (bread wheat). RNAcentral's name for it is "partial small subunit ribosomal RNA". Lineage: Eukaryota; Viridiplantae; Streptophyta; Magnoliopsida; Poales; Poaceae. The record is from RNAcentral.
AUGGACACCGUCGGCGCCUGGCCGCAUUUUGAGGGGCAAGAGUACAUGACGGUGUGGCCGGAGGAGGAGUACCGGACGGUGUGGUCCGAGCCGCCGAAGCGGCGGGCGGGCCGGAACAAGCUGCAGGAGACGCGCCACCCGGUGUACCGCGGCGUGCGCCGCCGUGGCCGGGAAGGGCAGUGGGUGUGGGUGUGCGAGCUACGCGUGCCGGCCGCCGGAAGCCGGGUUUACUCCAGGAUCUGGCUCGGCACCUUCGCCGACCCCGAGAUGGCGGCGCGCGCGCACGACUCGGCCGCGCUGGCGCUGUCCGGCCGCGAUGCGUGCCUCAACUUCGCCGACUCCGCCUGGCGGAUGAUGCCCGUCCACGCGGCCGGGUCGUUCAAGAUGGCCGCCGCGCAGGAGAUCAAGGACGCCGUGGCCGUCGCCCUCAAGGCGUUCCAGGAGCUGCAGUGCCCUGCCGAUGUGUCAAAGGCGCCAUCCUCCACGUCCGAGGAGAGCGCGCCGUCCAUUACCUCCAGCGACUUGUCUGGGCUGGACGACGAGCACUGGAUCGGCGGCAUGGACGCCGGGUCGUACUACGCAAACUUGGCGCAGGGCAUGCUCAUGGAGCCGCCGGCCGCCGGAGGGUGGCGGGAGGACCGCGAACAGGACGACGGCGUCGGCACGUCGCUGUGGACCUACUAG